ACCAUGCAGUCGAACGGAAAGGCCCUUGCUUGCAGGGGUACUCGAGUGGCGAACGGGUGAGUAACACGUAGGUGAUCUGCCUUGUACUUCGGGAUAAGCCUGGGAAACUGGGUCUAAUACCGGAUAGGACCAUGCUUUAGUGUGUGUGGUGGAAAGUUUUUUCGGUACAAGAUGAGCCCGCGGCCUAUCAGCUUGUUGGUGGGGUAAUGGCCUACCAAGGCGACGACGGGUAGCCGGCCUGAGAGGGUGUACGGCCACAUUGGGACUGAGACACGGCCCAGACUCCUACGGGAGGCAGCAGUGGGGAAUAUUGCACAAUGGGCGCAAGCCUGAUGCAGCGACGCCGCGUGAGGGAUGACGGCCUUCGGGUUGUAAACCUCUUUCGCUAGGGAAGAAGCCACUUGUGGUGACGGUACCUGGAUAAGAAGCACCGGCUAACUACGUGCCAGCAGCCGCGGUAAU
RNAcentral lists this ribosomal RNA (462 nucleotides) under uncultured bacterium. Its description in RNAcentral is "bacterial SSU rRNA". It matches the Rfam family "Bacterial small subunit ribosomal RNA", at positions 53 to 524 of the family's 1533-position model. The record is from RNAcentral.